This 69-nucleotide transfer RNA is filed under the name Fringilla montifringilla (brambling). RNAcentral describes it as "tRNA-Asp". It matches the Rfam family "tRNA". Rfam says of the family: Transfer RNA (tRNA) molecules are approximately 80 nucleotides in length. The record is from RNAcentral. Lineage: Eukaryota; Metazoa; Chordata; Aves; Passeriformes; Fringillidae.
GAGAUGUUAGUAAAAAAAUUACAUAGCCUUGUCAAGACUAAAUUGCAGGUUAAAAUCCAGCACAUCUCU